This 466-nucleotide long non-coding RNA is filed under the name Homo sapiens (human). RNAcentral describes it as "non-protein coding SNHG17:24". The record is from RNAcentral. Lineage: Eukaryota; Metazoa; Chordata; Mammalia; Primates; Hominidae.
CCCCGUCUCCACAAAAAAUUAGCCAGGCACGGUAGCGCACUCCUGUAGUCCCAGCUACUCAGGAGGCUGAGGCAGGAGGAUUGCUUAAGCCCAGGAAUUCGAGGAUUCAAUGAGUUAAUGAUGGCACCACUGCAGCCCAGCCUGGGUGCCAGAGUGAGACCUGUUUUUAAGAGAAAGAAAAAUUGCAGCAAUGACAUGAUCUAAGGAUGUGCACGCAUGAACUGUCAUCUCUGAUUCACAGAGGGAGGAAUCUACACAUGUCCCAGGGGCCAUGGUGAAAAGGUGCAGUUAAUCUCCCCACUUGAAGUUAAAACCACCUUGGCUGGAGUUGGGGCAAAAAUCACGCUGCGUCUCGCUGCUGACUCCCAGGCUGGAAUACUCUGGCGUGAUCUUUGCUCACUGCAACCUCCACCGCCUGGGUUCAAGCGAUUCUCCUGCCUCAGCCUCCUGAGUAACUGGGACUACA